AACGAACGCUGGCGGCAUGCCUAACACAUGCAAGUCGAACGAGACCUUCGGGUCUAGUGGCGCACGGGUGCGUAACGCGUGGGAACCUGCCCUUAGGUUCGGAAUAACUCCCCGAAAGGGGUGCUAAUACCGGAUAAUGUCUUCGGACCAAAGAUUUAUCGCCUUUGGAUGGGCCCGCGUUGGAUUGGCCAGUUGGUAGGGUAAAAGCCUACCAAGGCGACGAUCCAUAGCUGGUCUGAGAGGAUGAUCGGCCACACUGGGACUGAGACACGGCCCAGACUCCUACGGGAGGCAGCAGUGGGGAAUAUUGGACAAUGGGCGAAAGCCUGAUCCAGCAAUGCCGCGUGAGUGAUGAAGGCCUUAGGGUUGUAAAGCUCUUUUACCCGGGAUGAUAAUGACAGUACCGGGAGAAUAAGCUCCGGCUAACUCCGUG
RNAcentral lists this ribosomal RNA (433 nucleotides) under uncultured bacterium. RNAcentral describes it as "partial 16S ribosomal RNA". It matches the Rfam family "Bacterial small subunit ribosomal RNA", at positions 29 to 507 of the family's 1533-position model. The record is from RNAcentral.